UUCGGGCAGCCAGUUUUAGCCUCAAUCUGUCGAUUCAAAUGAGAAGUCGCUCGAAUGUAGUAUCGUGUUAACAGACCGUUAACAAACUUGGGAGAGAAAAUCACCAUUCUUCUACAUCGCGUCGUUCGGUUAUUUCUGCAAACGGUAAAAGCAACGGUAACGAGAUUACAGAGUGGUCAUUUGCGACAUCAUUCACUGCCGCGAUACGUGGCCUCGGUUGACUAAUUGAUUGCCAGCAAAACAAUAGAGUAUAGCCUUUCGAUCAAUUAUCGCCUACACAAUUUUCUGACGUUACUUCAAUCAUGCAUUCGUUACCAUAAUGGAUGAGAAUUUAAUCGUCAUUUUAAUCGGAGAAUUACCUCGAAACCUAACGGACAUAACAUUCGACAGCUAUGAGCUGGACAUUUUCUAGGAUUGUCGCAGUCGAUAACAUCUUUGCUGGACCCUCUGGUACCAGGAACUUCAGCGCCGAUUUUGUCGACGCACCAGCACCUGUUCUCACGGGGAUGGCAUUAGCACAUUCGGCUGGUUUUGAAGAAGCGAGCCUGUGGUUUAUGGGUCUCGGUUACAAGGAACACACCUUUAUUGGUCAGGCAUCAUCACGAUCCUCGUGUAUCCCAGCUUGCCUUUGUUCGAUGAAUCAAAGUGUAGCGCAACGACGACGGGAAAUAAUAAUAAAAAUAGCCGGGGAGUCGAGGUAACGGUUCUUCGCAUCCUACUGCCACACUUACUACGCUUACCUAACGUGAUACGAGCACAUUUCCAGAACAAACUCGGCUGAGUCAGACGUUGCGGACUGCCUGAUGGGUCGUAGCUAUAGGCGAGAA
Long non-coding RNA from Osmia bicornis bicornis, 827 nucleotides. RefSeq lists it as uncharacterized. NCBI's taxonomy places the organism in Eukaryota, Metazoa, Arthropoda, Insecta, Hymenoptera, Megachilidae. The transcript is spliced from 3 exons. The record is from RefSeq and is a predicted model, not a curated record.